AUCAACUUUCGAUGGUAGGAUAGAGGCCUAUCAUGGUGGUAACGGGUAACGGGGUGUUAGGGCACGACACCGGAGAGGGAGCCUGAGAAACGGCUACCACAUCCAAGGAUGGCAGCAGGCGCGCAAAUUACCCAAUCCCGACACGGGGAGGUAGUGACAAUAAAUAACAAUACGGGGUUCUUUAGGAUCUCGUAAUUGGAAUGAGUACAAUUUAAAUCUCUUAACGAGGAACAAUUGGAGGGCAAGUCUGGUGCCAGCAGCCGCGGUAAUUCCAGCUCCAAUAGCGUAUAUUAAAGUUGUUGCAGUUAAAAAGCUCGUAGUUGAAUUUCGGGGUUAGUAGGUUGGUCAUGCCUCUGGUAUGUACUGGUCUCACUGAUUCCUCCUUCCUGAUGAACCUUAAUGCCAUUAAUUUGGUGUUUUGGGGAAUUUGGACUGUUACUUUGAAAAAAUUAGAGUGUUUAAAGCAAGCUAACGCUUGAAUACAUAGCAUGGAAUAAUGAAAUAGGACGUUCGAUCCUAUUUUGUUGGUUUCUAGGAUUGACGUAAUGAUUAAUAGGGAUAGUUGGGGGCAUUAGUAUUCAAUUGUCAGAGGUGAAAUUCUUGGAUUUAUUGAAGACUAACUACUGCGAAAGCAUUUGCCAAGAAUGUUUUCAUUAGUCAAGAACGAAAGUUAGGGGAUCGAAGACGAUCAGAUACCGUCGUAGUCUUAACCAUAAACUAUGCCGACUAGGGAUCGGAUGAUGUUAAUUUUUUAAUGACUCAUUCGGCGCCUUACGGGAAACCAAAGUGUUUGGGUUC
RNAcentral lists this ribosomal RNA (798 nucleotides) under uncultured Glomeromycotina. RNAcentral describes it as "SSU rRNA". It matches the Rfam family "Eukaryotic small subunit ribosomal RNA", at positions 314 to 1114 of the family's 1831-position model. Lineage: Eukaryota; Fungi; Glomeromycota. The record is from RNAcentral.